CCAAACCAUGUAAAGACUUGUCUUCUUUAACUUCCCACUUCUUUCCAAGGGCACAGACACUCCCGGCGCAGGUUGCUGUGCCCGGUUUUGCUCCUGGCUUUCUGUCCUUGCCAUGAGGCCCUGUCCUGCACCCCGCAGGGCUCUGCACAUGGGGUUCUGCAGCCCGUGUCAGUUCUCACAUCUUCAGGCCUGCCCGGCCUCGAUGGCGGCUCCUCACACAGCCACCACUCCAUGGUGAGUAACUGGAGCAGUGCUCACCUCUGUGAGGAUGCUUACUCACCCAGGAGCUGAGGUCUGACCGUGGCGACCAUGAUCUGCAGUAACAUCACGUGGAUGGGGCUGACAUCUCCCCUCCCUGCCCUGCAUGCACUGAAAGCCCUUGCAGGGCACACAUCAAACCCUCUGGGUGUGGAGGAGAAGUACUGUGCAUUGAUACUGCUAUAGCUAGGACCGGGGCUCAAUCCCGAGGAUGCUGCUGGAUAUAGACAGGAGAAACACACAGAAAUGAUGCUGCAAUCAAAUACAGAGUUUACUAUUACUCACAAAACUCAGAGCUGUGAAUUGGAAGCUUAUGACCCUCCCUCAAAUAAGCACUCCUCCACCUCUUCCUACUCCUCUGAGGAGUCAAUGGGGAGGAGUGUGCUUAAACUGUGAGCUCAGUGAGGAGUCUCCACCUGAUGGGCUCCGUGUGAUGCAGAUUUCAGCCCACAUUUCACUUCUCAUGGCUGAAAGAGCAACUGCCCCAACAACUUCCUCGUCUUUGUCUCCAGAACAGGCAGAUUCGUCCUGCAUUGACUGCACAGGUGAGGCUGAGAAGACCGUUUUCCUGCAGCUUGCAGACACAGUGAUGGAGCGUGGGGAUAUUUGCUCCCCCCCGUGGGACUGCCGCCAGGUGGGUGUUGCAGCACCAGGUGGGUGUUGCAGUGCAGGUGUUUGGGGCCGCACACCCCUGCCUGGUUUUCCUGGUGUUCAUCCGGUUCGCUGACCUCCCUGGGGCUUCCCAGGUACCGCAGGGCCACAGCCCGUCUGCUGCUUGAUCAGCAGUUAUGAUUCACCUGUUGAUGCCACAGCUUAAUAACUCACUUAACUGCAGUACUUUGAUUAAAGAGCAACCUAUCUAACGAUA
This is a long non-coding RNA of Gallus gallus (chicken), 1126 nucleotides long. RefSeq lists it as uncharacterized. Lineage: Eukaryota; Metazoa; Chordata; Aves; Galliformes; Phasianidae. The record is from RefSeq and is a predicted model, not a curated record. The transcript has 2 exons.